GGAAAAGCCCAGCACCGAAGCCUGUGGUCAUUUGACUGCCAGGCAAUGUGGUGUUUAGGUCGUUCCGCAGAUGCACUGCUCCACCCUAAGUCCAACAAUGAGUACGGUGGUACGGACAUGGCCCAUUGAGGGUGUAAGGCCCGUGGGGGUGGAGAUCAGGCGAAACAGUGCUACUCUGGGAGGACCUUGGAGUCGGGUUGUUUGUGAAUGCAGCCCAAAGUGGGUGGUAAACUUCCAUCCAAGGCUAAAUACCAAGCACGAGUCCGAUAGCGAACAAGUACCGUGAGGGAAAGUUGAAAAGUACUCUGAAGAGAGAGUAAACAGUGCGUGAAACCGCUCAGAGGUAAACGGAUGGAGUUGAACUGUGAGUUUCGAGGGUUCAGCUGGUGACAUUGAUUGGGCUUGGCCAAAUUGGUUGGACUCCAGGGUCUGUUUAGCUACAGGUCCUCGCCUUCUGGUGAAGAUGCGCGGUACACCUGUUUGGUGUUGCGCGCUCUGGAUGUUCCGGACCUUGUCGUCAGUGCACUCCCUCGAUACGGUCACCACGACCGGCACUGCUGUCUGUCUGUUACGGUCAAACUGGCUGUGCAUUGCCCUCGUGGCUUUGUGCGGUCGGGAUGGCAGGUAGCUCGUUGGCUUGCUUGCAGGCUUUCGGGUGAAAUCAGCUGACUGUGAUUUGACUGUGCGGUGUGUCGGGGACGGCGGCUUGAGGUGUGCGCGUGCGUACCAGUUUGCUGGCGUGUCCGUGUUAGGUUGCUCAGUUGCUCACAAAGUGGGCCAAGCGGCGACUGGGACGCGUGCGGUGAGCGGUCGCGUACGUGACACAAUUCUUGGGCCAAUAGUCUGUGGUGUUGCGGUAGACUAUCCAUCCGACCCGUCUUGAAACACGGACCAAGGAGAGUAACAUGUGCGCGAGUCAUUGGGCGUUACGAAACCCAAAGGCGAAGUGAAAGUAAAGGCCUGGCAUGUCCAGGCUGAGGUGAGAUCCUGUCGUUUCUUACGCGCGGUACUACCAAGCAUCGAGCGGCAGGCGYAUCACCGGCCCGUCCCAUGGCAUUGGCAGUCGAAUAUACAGUACAGUCGGGGCGGAGCAAGAGCGUACAUGUUGAGACCCGAAAGAUGGUGAACUAUGCUUGUGCAGAUUGAAGCCAGAGGAAACUCUGGUGGAGGAUCGCAGCGAUUCUGACGUGCAAAUCGAUCGUCAUGACAUGAGUAU
This 1216-nucleotide ribosomal RNA is filed under the name Allopodocotyle palmi. Its description in RNAcentral is "Allopodocotyle sp. p ST-2021 partial large subunit ribosomal RNA". Lineage: Eukaryota; Metazoa; Platyhelminthes; Trematoda; Plagiorchiida; Opecoelidae. The record is from RNAcentral.